Molecule: small nuclear RNA, 114 nt
Organism: Oryctolagus cuniculus (rabbit)
Lineage: Eukaryota; Metazoa; Chordata; Mammalia; Lagomorpha; Leporidae
Gene: U5
Rfam family: U5 spliceosomal RNA
About the family: U5 RNA is a component of both types of known spliceosome. The precise function of this molecule is unknown, though it is known that the 5' loop is required for splice site selection and p220 binding, and that both the 3' stem-loop and the Sm site are important for Sm protein binding and cap methylation.
Source: Ensembl
AUACUCUGGUUUCUCUUCAGACAGUAUAAAUCUUUUACCUUUUGCUCAAGAUUUCCUUGAAGAGGAACAAUUCUGGGUCGUUACCCAGUUUUUUAGGCCUUGCUUCUGCAGGCU